RNAcentral lists this ribosomal RNA (870 nucleotides) under Triticum aestivum (bread wheat). RNAcentral describes it as "partial small subunit ribosomal RNA". Lineage: Eukaryota; Viridiplantae; Streptophyta; Magnoliopsida; Poales; Poaceae. The record is from RNAcentral.
AUGAGCCCUCCUCCGCCGUCGCGUCCGACUCCCACUUACAUCCUCCUCCUGCUGAUCUUCUUCUCGCUAACCGCGUCGGCUGCGCAACCAAAAGGGGUAUGUGUUUCACCUGGUGGACGGUUCCCUGCUUUCUCAUCUGAAGGCAAGCCUCCUGGAAAAGCAGCAAAGGGGCGCAGAGACCUAGCACUAUGUAGGAUAUUCCGCCAGAACACAUGUUGUGACGUGACACAGACAUUUCCUGCCCUGCUUUCAGUGCGAAAGCUCUCGUCAACUGGUGAAGGCAGUGGAGAAUGCCUUCAUUUGUGGGAGUUGCUCGAGUGCUCAGUCUGUGAUCCACGGGUGGGUGUCAGGCCUGGACCUCCUGUUAUAUGUGCAUCAUUCUGUGACAUGGUUUUCGAAGCUUGUUCGGAGGCAUACUUCUCCAUUGAUACAAAAACACAGGCCUUAUCUCCUUGUGGUUUAGGUGACAUCCUUUGUGGCAAAGCACAUAAGUGGGUUUCUAACGGCACAGAGCUAUGUCGCCUUGCUGGUUUCUCUGUGCAAGUUUCUGAUGCCAGUCCUAGUGAAGUUGUCGAAACCUUCUGCUAUGGCGGGAAAGCAAGUUUGGAUUCCAUCUCUUAUACAUGGACGUCUUCAAAAGAUCGUCCAGUAUUACAUGAUAUGGCCUCCUGGGAUCUUGAAAAUUUUCAGAGAUGGGCAAAAGAAAUGCCUGUUGGUGAAAGAAUUUCGUGGGCAGUUGGAGGAAUGGUUCUUACAGCAGGCCUUAUUUUUAUCAGCAAAAGAGAGGGCUACAGCCGUCGUCGUAAGCAAGCUUCUGUCGCUCAAACUGUAAGAAAAAAAUGGAAUCGGGAGCUAACCCGCAGCAACUGA